UUUUCAAGAAAUGAAUUUAAUUCAUGUAUCAUAUUUAAUUUCUGUUAUUUUUCUAUUUAUUUUUAUUUGAUGCUAAGAUUGAGGGGGAUUAGCUCCUUAUUUUAUUAUUAUAAUUAUUUAUUAAAGAUUUAGUUUUGUGGAUUUUAUAGUGAUUUUCAAUUUGAUUAUGUUAAAAUUUUACUUGUUCUUUUAUUUAUUUAUUUUAAUUUAAUUGUUUUAUUGAAAUAUUUUCUUUACUUUUAGGUUUGUAUAGUAAUUAUUGUGGAAUUAGUAAAUUUUAUUUUUAUUCUGUAAAAUUAAUGAGGGUGUUAAUUAUUUUUAAGGAAUUCGGCAAACAAUUUGUGUCCGCCUGUUUAACAAAAACAUCUUUUCUUGUUAGUUUUUGAAGUAUGGCCUGCCCACUGACUUAUAAGUUAAAGGGCCGCGGUAUUUUGACCGUGCAAAGGUAGCAUAAUCAUUAGUUCUUUAAUUGUGAUCUGGUAUGAAUGGCUUGACGAGACAUCAGCUGUCUUGGGGAUAUUAUUUAUUGAAUUUGGUUUUUGAGUUAAAAUUCUUAAAUGUUUUUAUGGGACGAGAAGACCCUAUAGAGUUUAACAUUUGUUCUGGUUAUAUUUUAUUUUGUUUGUUUUUUGAUUUAAAUUGGUAUGAAUGUUUUGUUGGGGUGAUGGGAGGAAUGAUUUUAACUCCUCUUUGUUUAAAAUUGUAUAUUUAUGUAUAUUUGUUUGAUCC
RNAcentral lists this ribosomal RNA (729 nucleotides) under Procubitermes sp. VR-2017. RNAcentral's name for it is "partial 16S ribosomal RNA". The stretch from base 301 to 557 matches the Rfam family "Archaeal large subunit ribosomal RNA", at positions 1784 to 2143 of the family's 2987-position model. Lineage: Eukaryota; Metazoa; Arthropoda; Insecta; Blattodea; Termitidae. The record is from RNAcentral.